ACCAAAUUCGGAGCGAGAAUCCUCAGCAUGAAGGGUGUGAAAAGUCCACAGCUGCUUCCCAGCUGAGUUUGUCUGCUGCUGUGUUGUCGUGAUGCUGCUGUGCCGCCGACAAAGCAGUGAACCACAAGACCGGCGACCUCUUGCUCCUGUGGACCGGUCGGACUUCUGUGCCCUCCUCCGUCUUCUUCUGUCGCCGCUGUCGGAUGUUGUGGGCAGUGAAGAGCUCCAUGUGGGGCAUCGGAGACCGCGACACGAGAGGUUAAACCGGAGCUAUGGUUGUAUGAAUGGCAGGUUGAACCUGCUGCUGUUGGACGUCGUUGCGACCGUCUACCGCCAGCGAACGCCAUAUCGCUGCUACCGCCCGCUUUUCAUGUUCCUGCUCCGUCAUGGCCCACCUCAGGUGGGUAUUGGGUCUAUUUCCGGGAAGGAAUGUGCGUACACUGCUACUUUAGGGUGCUAAUUUCGUGAUUGGGUGGCUAUCUUAGCCGGAAUCUCUAGUGGGCCACCACCACCACCGUAAGGUGGUGGCUGCCACCAUGAACAACCGCCUGCCGCAUUAGGUGGCUAUGUUUGUGUGUGUGUUUAUUAGUAUGUGNUAUGCUAGAUUACAUCCUGGUUUAGGAUGGUUGCUAUGUUAUUGAUAUGCUAGAUUUCAUCUUGGUUGAGGAUGGUUGCUAUGUUAUAUUUCGGAUAGAUCCGUAUCCUGGUUAUAGUAUGCUUGUAUGAUGUUAUGAUCUGUUAGAUCAGUAUCCUGGUAGAUAGGAUGUUGUUAUGCUAUUAUGAUUGUUAUAUCGGUAUCCUGGUUAUAGGAUGUUGCUAUGAUUGGUGAUCUGUUAGAUUGGUACGACUGUUAUAUAUAUGAAAGUGCAUGAUAUUUAUGUACACAUGCUUGUUUGAUUUGGGGUUGGGUUGAGGCAGUCCUGCUUUGUGCUGGAGGCCAACAUACCCAGGGCGGUCUAGAUAACCUGAAGGCCCUGCAAAGGGAUUCAGUCAGACCGAAGGCCUGACAAACGGUCCGGAUAGGCUGUAGGCCCUGCGAGGCAGUCCAGACGUGCCGAAGACUCGGAGAACAGUUCAUAGAGACUGAAGGCCUGUGAGGCGGUCCAGUCAGGCUGACGACUUAUUAUGCAUGUUGUUCUGUAUUGGUUAUAUGAUAUGGUUAUGUUUGUAUGGCGUUGGUAUUUUGGGGAAACUCACUAAGCUUCGGGCUUACAGUUGUUGAUUUGUUUCAGGCACUUCUGAUGAUUGUAGGAAGGCGAAGGCGUGAUUGUGCACCUCCUCAUAUUUUCAUGAUUGAUUAUGGGGAUACUCUGAUGUCUGAACCAUUUUGAAAACAAACUGUAAUAACUUAAUGGUUUUAAAAUGUAUUAAAAAGUUUAAAUUUGGCUUGAAUUUUAUGGGUGUUACAUGUUGGUAUCAGAGCCUUGGUUUGAGUGAAUUAGAGGAACACUCAUGUGAACCCAGUCUCAAAUCAAGGAAAGGAUUUUAAUAUGAAUUUUUAAAUGGUUUUCAAAAUAAGUAAAGGAGGAUGCAGGGUGUACAAUUAGCCAGAGCCAGUAAGUAGACCCCAAAAUACCAUAUAGUUAUUUGAUUAUGUGAUAUAUUUGAACACCAUGCUAGUACUAGGCUAGGGAUCUUUAGGAAUUGCGUGAUAGAAUUGCAUGAUUACAUGAUGCCUGCUAGCCUAGGGUUUCCUUAUAUGAGAUUGACAUCAUUACUGUAGUUACUUGUGUAUGCAUCACGGAUGUAUAUAAUUAAGAUCUUAUAGCCUGAGAAUGUUUGAUUUGGCCUUAUGUUCUAUUCUUAUUGAUUAGGGCUUAGGGUAGGAUCGAAUAUUCAAAAGUCCAUGGGGUCCAACGUUAUGUAUGCUAGCAUACACUAGUGCUGCAGGGUUGGUGGAAGUUUCAUGGAUGGGUGGGUCGUGAGAGGCUGAGAGGCCAGUUAUGAGAUAUUCAGUAUUCCUCUAGGAGUGAGGAUUGAGCUCUCGCUAUGUUUGUAUAUUGUUAGGGCGUUGUGAUGAUACUUGAGACAAAUAUGGGUAGGUGUGGAAGGUAGUAUGGGCCCGUACUACUGAAAGCGCAAGACCCAUACGAGUAGCAAGGAAGUCACAACCCCCAGGGUUUGGUUGGGAAUUGGCUCUUUGUCAUUAUAUGGGUUCUCAUAGACCUUUAUGAUGUGUUACCAGAAUGGUGGUUACAAAACGUCUUAAGACCGGAUCCAGGUUAGGAUCUCGUAUUGUCAGAGGAUCGUGUUAGUGAGACCCUCCGGGAGGAGGUGAUCGAGAUUGUCCAGGGACAGUUGUCGGAGAUGUUGGGCCUAUUAAGACUGUCACGGUUGAGUAUUUCGACGAGCGUUAUGCAACCAUUGCUGAGACGGCUGCUGUAGCAGCUUCAACAACUGUAACGACGGCAGGAGGGGAGUUGGUCGAGCUUUCCAGUAUCGGGACUUGUUAUUGGCACAUAUUCUAAUGAGCAUAGGGAUGCAGUUAUCUGGGAUCAUGGAGAUGUUAUGUACUUGUUACAUUCCGCGGGUUAAGCGGGAGAGUCUGGCACAUGCGUUCUAGAUUGAGGCUUUGGGNUCGAGGCCGGAAUGUGAGUCGCUGGGACUCCAGAAAGGAGUAAUGAUUAUGUUCAACUGGAGUUAUGCAUCUGGAAUUAGAAUGGUUAAUCGAUAGGGUUGGAAUGUUGUUUUCUAGGGCAAGGAAUGUUCCCUUUAAGUUUACGAGCUCGAAGGAUUGAUUAGGCUUGUGACCCCAGGAUCAAGUUGUAUUCCAGAUCAGGGUUAAUUGGUCGCCAUGAUUGGCGACAGUAGUUUAGCAUUGGUAAGCGCGGGUGGGUUGAUGUGGCAUAAGUAUUUUGGAGGUCCAUUUCGCCUUGGAUCUCUUGUAUCGGACGGUAAGGAUUGAUUGUGCGAUCUAUUGCACUUUCGGGAUUAGAGACUAUGUCUUGGGUGUAGUUGUGGCUCGGUUUAGGGCAAAGGUAGUUUCAGACUUUCAGUUACUGCAGUUCAGAUGUGGAUGAUCGAGCUGGUGAGUGAGUCAGGGUGCGAGGCCCUAAAUGAUAUGACUUCUAGAGCCGAGAGCGGGAGGAUUGUUGGAAAGCUUUAGGAAGAAGGGUAUUAUGUGGGAUGUCUGCAGACAGGGUCCCACAGGAUGGUUAUUCAACAUUGUCAGGAUUAAGUGAUUUUAGUAACCGUUAUUGACUGGCGGGGGAAGGCGCCAUGGGAAGUAGUUUGUUGUUGAGACAUUAGUUGGAGCAUCUAUUUUUUUUGGACUUCAAGAUUUGGGUGUGGGAUCAUUCGAGCUUUAGGGUGUGUUGGUUUCCCUGUGAUUUAGGAGGUGUUCAUCUAGUUAUUAGAAGGGUGUGAUCGUUCGGGAUUGGCUAGAGUACUAGUUGGAAAGGUCUGGCUGUCAUCAGAUCGAUCAAUGGAAAGUAAGAAGGAUUGGGAGUUCUUCAACUUUAAUGUAUUGUGAAGACUUAGUCGAAUCUAAGUGGGGGAGAAUUAUUCCGCGAUUCAGAAGUAUUUUGGAAAUAGGAUAAGUUUCGCAUCAUUGUCAUGAAGGAAGACAACCUAAGUGGUUGUUUGGUUUGUGGGUUGUGUGAAUUGGGAGUUCGGUAAAACUCCCGAGCAUAGGUAUCACGUCUUCCUGGUGCUUGAUAGCAGAAGUCGGGAAACCAGGUUGGAGUUCUAGUCAUGAAUCGAGUUCAGUUCGAUGUAUUCGGUCGAGGGUGUGCUCGACUCUGAAGGUUUUGGAUUGAUAGGUUGAGGGUUUUAUUAGCUGCCAGGGCUCGACAGUACAUUCAACACGGGUGUGCAGAUUAUUAGUGUACAUGGUAGACACGCGGGUCAGGGAGCAGACCACGGAUUUCCGAGAGGAUAGACGAUCGACAUGAGGCCUAGGGUUAGGCCGGGGUUUAAGUCUACGAAAUGGUAUGGAGUUCGGAACCCGGAAGUGGGUGAGAAUAGUCUACAUGGGAAAGAUCACCAGGGGGUGGUCCCAAGGAGAUACUCAACAGUUUAGAGUGGUCCAGAUGACUGAAGGCCUAGUGAGCCGGUCCAGUCAUGUUGAAGACUUUGUAUGUGUUUCUAGAUUAUAUGCGAGUAUUGAGUAUGCUACUAUGUUGUAUCAACCAGUGGGUCUGUUCCCAAGUAUUGAACAUGUUACUGGAGUAGGCUGAAGACUCAGGUGUAUUUUUGGUUUGAUCGGAAGUUGUCAUUAGAAAUCGGAUGGGGUACAGAGGAUCUUGGUGAUCUCAUCAGUUCGGAGUGUUUCAUAGGAUUAAUCUGCUUAGAUCGGGUAAUACUCCGGCUGGGGACCGAGAGUAGAUCUGAAUGGGUAUCCUUCAAUUUUAGGAAGGCUUGGGAUUAGAAUGUUCUGUAGUUCAGGUUUUGGGAACCGGGUUAAACCUGGUUAAGCUAGUGAUAAGACUGUAGGAACGCCACUAUAGUCAUGAGACCAAGGAAGCAAUGGAUUGCUUAAGGUUGCAUGUGAUGUAAGGUUACCAUUGGUCUUGUAGCAAUCGCUUUUAGCCAUGGGUUGGUAGCAACGGGAUUUGACGCAUGGAUCCGAUCGGUUGGAUCAGGAGGUUGUUAGAGUCGCAGUGGCAUGAUAACUAGUGGUGACUAGCUCCAUGGAAGGAUUUCGUUUAGAGGUCGUGUGAGGCAACUAUGUGGGAGUCCUUUAGCUCCGCGACCGGGCCGGGGCCCAGUAUUUCAGAUGAUUGGCGAACGAGAUGAGGCCAAGCAGGUCUUAGUAGAUUUUGGAAAUCAGUCAUGUGGCAGCAUAUUGCUUCAUGCAGAUCAGUGUACGGGCAGUUUCCGCUUUUGGGCAGUAUUGGUAUUUGUGUUGGGUUGCAAAUACAGACAGAAUAAUAGAUUGCUUGGGUGAUGCUAAGUGACCUACAGGGAUAAUUGGUUCUGUGAUUUCAGUUUUCACACCGGGGACCCAAAGCGGAUAAUAUUGUGAUACGUUCCUGAGGGGGAUGUUACAGAUGAUUUAGUAUGAGCAGUCUGCCAGGGAGCUAGACCAUCCCCAGACUUCAGAUUUUGAAUUGGGUAGAUGUGAUCAUUUACAAUGAAUUCAUUUAUCUUCAGGUUUCGAAACCCUGCAAGGAUUGGAUUCGGUUGCCGUGGGAAGGCUAGGGUAUUCUUGUAGUGGUGGCCAUGUAGGUCAAGUUGUCUGGUGGGUAGUAAAUGAUAAGAGACGAUUUCGAGGAUGAAAUCAAAUUUAAUUGGGGGAGAGUUGUAACAUCUCGUUUAAAAUAUAGGGAUUUAAAUAAAAAACCCGUAACCCCGAGAAGUAAUUUAUUAUUAUCUUAUAUAAUUAGAGUCCAAAAUUUUAAUAAUAAUUAUCGGAAUGUUAGUUUCGGGGGUUAAAGAAUAAUAUUGGACUUAAUUUGAAAGGAUAUUGAAUGGAUGGGGCUAAAAUAGUAAAUUACGUAUCUAAGUUGAAAUUAAUUGGUCAUGGAGGGGCCAUAUAGUAAUUUAUGGAUCUUAACUGAGAAUAAUUUGUAGAGGAGGGGUUGUUUUUGUAACUAUUGGACUUAUAUUGAAAAGUUUAUGGGAGCAAGAGUUCAAAUGGUAAAUUAAGGAUAAAAAUUUAAAGAAAAGAGAGAUGAGGGACUAAAGAUGUCAUUAUGGACAGAAGCUUGUAUGAAUCGGGGUUUAUAACUUCUCAUUCUCGAAACCCUAAACCUAAAUGAACAAUAGCCGCUACCUCCCUCACUACCCUCCCUCCAGCCACCACCCCUCCCCCUAACUUCCGGCCUCCACCACCAUUGCUAACAUCCCAAAUCAUCGAAUCCAACCAUCGUGCCUCGUCCUACUGUCCGGAAGGUACAUUGGUGACCAAAUUCGGAGCGAGAAUCCUCAGCAUGAAGGGUGUGAAAAGUCCACAGCUGCUUCCCAGCUGAGUUUGUCUGCUGCUGUGUUGUCGUGAUGCUGCUGUGCCGCCGACAAAGCAGUGAACCACAAGACCGGCGACCUCUUGCUCCUGUGGACCGGUCGGACUUCUGUGCCCUCCUCCGUCUUCUUCUGUCGCCGCUGUCGGAUGUUGUGGGCAGUGAAGAGCUCCAUGUGGGGCAUCGGAGACCGCGACACGAGAGGUUAAACCGGAGCUAUGGUUGUAUGAAUGGCAGG
Molecule: long non-coding RNA, 6138 nt
Filed under: Lactuca sativa (garden lettuce)
Lineage: Eukaryota; Viridiplantae; Streptophyta; Magnoliopsida; Asterales; Asteraceae
Description: long non-coding RNA (LSAT_LNC007655)
Source: RNAcentral